RNAcentral lists this unclassified non-coding RNA (347 nucleotides) under soil metagenome. RNAcentral's name for it is "partial contains 5.8S ribosomal RNA, internal transcribed spacer 2, and large subunit ribosomal RNA". The stretch from base 1 to 120 matches the Rfam family "5.8S ribosomal RNA", at positions 35 to 154 of the family's 154-position model. The record is from RNAcentral.
GAUGAAGAACGCAGUGAAAUGCGAUAAUUAAUGUGAAUUGCAGAAUUCAGUGAAUCAUCGAGUCCUUGAACGCACAUUGCGCCCCCUGGUAUUCCGGGGGGCAUGCCUGUCCGAGCGUCAUUGCUGCCCUCAAGCACGGCUUGUGUGUUGGGCUUCCGUCCCUGGCAACGGGGACGGGCCCAAAAGGCAGUGGCGGCACCAUGUCUGGUCCUCGAGCGUAUGGGGCUUUGUCACCCGCUCCCGUAGGUCCAGCUGGCAGCUAGCCUCGCAACCAAUCUUUUUAACCAGGUUGACCUCGGAUCAGGUAGGGAUACCCGCUGAACUUAAGCAUAUCAAUAAGCGGAGGA